AUGAAGAUUAAGUUGAAGUUGGUUUGGGUGGUACUAGUUCAGGUGCCGGGAAUAUGGGAACAGAUGAGUACAAUUCGUUUGCUGGAACUGGCAGCCAAAUUGGAAUUCCCGAUGGGGUUGCGGCCGGCGAACGGGCAAAAUUGGAACUUGAAUAUGCUCGGUUCACUGGGAUUCUUCCAGCUCGAUUGUGAGAGUGGGUGGAGUAACGGUACAGGUACAGGGGUUCCUCCAAUACCAGAUGAAGAACAAUGUGCACGUGUGCGCACACUUGCUGCUGCGGUGCUAGAUAUGGUUGACCAAGCAAUAAACAAUCCUGAAAAUUUUGAAGUGGUAUUUGAUCACGCCAGAAGUCUGCUCGGGAGGGUUCACGGUGGAUCAGGAGAAGGCGCGAGCUAA
Molecule: ribosomal RNA, 396 nt
Filed under: Triticum aestivum (bread wheat)
Lineage: Eukaryota; Viridiplantae; Streptophyta; Magnoliopsida; Poales; Poaceae
Description: partial small subunit ribosomal RNA
Source: RNAcentral